CCUACGGGUGGCUGCAGUGGGGAAUAUUGGACAAUGGGGGGAACCCUGAUCCAGCCAUGCCGCGUGUGUGAAGAAGGCCCUCGGGUUGUAAAGCACUUUCAGUGAGGAAGAACGCCUGGUGGUUAAUACCCAUCAGGAAAGACAUCACUCACAGAAGAAGCACCGGCUAACUCCGUGCCAGCAGCCGCGGUAAUACGGAGGGUGCGAGCGUUAAUCGGAAUUACUGGGCGUAAAGCGCGCGUAGGUGGCUUGAUAAGCCGGUUGUGAAAGCCCCGGGCUCAACCUGGGAACGGCAUCCGGAACUGUCAAUCUAGAGUGCAGGAGAGGAAGGUAGAAUUCCCGGUGUAGCGGUGAAAUGCGUAGAGAUCGGGAGGAAUACCAGUGGCGAAGGCGGCCUUCUGGACUGACACUGCCACUGAGGUGCGAAAGCGUGGGUAGCAAACAGGAUUAGAUACCCUAGUAGUC
Molecule: ribosomal RNA, 465 nt
Filed under: Vreelandella stevensii
Lineage: Bacteria; Pseudomonadati; Pseudomonadota; Gammaproteobacteria; Oceanospirillales; Halomonadaceae
Description: partial 16S ribosomal RNA
Rfam family: Bacterial small subunit ribosomal RNA
Source: RNAcentral